RNAcentral lists this long non-coding RNA (143 nucleotides) under Mus musculus (house mouse). RNAcentral's name for it is "predicted gene, 57035". Lineage: Eukaryota; Metazoa; Chordata; Mammalia; Rodentia; Muridae. The record is from RNAcentral.
AGAGCCAGAUGGGGAGAAAUGUAACAAAUGCAUGAUUUUGAGUUUUCUUUUUGUAUGUGUGCUUGCCAUAGGUAGUACAUAUGUUGUUGCUUUUUUUUGUUUUGAUGAAGAUAAUGAAUUAAAUAUUAACACCAUGAAUAUAA